This is a long non-coding RNA of Neotoma lepida (desert woodrat), 118 nucleotides long. It matches the Rfam family "Pvt1 oncogene conserved region 6". NCBI's taxonomy places the organism in Eukaryota, Metazoa, Chordata, Mammalia, Rodentia, Cricetidae. The record is from Rfam.
AUCCAGUUUGGGUGCUCUGGGUACCCUGGGUUCAUAUGAGAGACCUCCGUUUACCUGCCAUUGACCCUGGCUUGCAUUCUCUUCCUAUCCUCUUCUAUUUCCUAUUGGUAGAUAGAUG